RNAcentral lists this ribosomal RNA (981 nucleotides) under Triticum aestivum (bread wheat). Its description in RNAcentral is "partial small subunit ribosomal RNA". The record is from RNAcentral. Lineage: Eukaryota; Viridiplantae; Streptophyta; Magnoliopsida; Poales; Poaceae.
AUGGGGCGGUGGACCGGCGUCGUCCACGUCCCGCUCUCCCAAGGCGCCCCCCUCUUCCGCGUCGCCGCCUCGCUCAUACUCGCGCCCUCCAAAGCCCUCGCCGUUCCACGCGCAAACGCGAUCCUCUUCACGGGCGACCGCGUCCCCGGCACCGGCGAGCCGGCGAUCGAGCGGCUGUCGGACGCCGCCUACCUCGCCAAGCUCCUCGCUGGGAAGCUCGCCGGGGAAGCCAACGCGUGGGUGGUCGAUGCCGCUUGCUUUGCCGGGCCGUUUGCGGUCUACCGAGAGCUUGUGCCGGCCGUGGACACCGUUGGCGACCCUGAGCGGUAUGACCCCACUGGCCUACCGGCGGCGGCUGGCGUUGCCAACAUCUUGGCACAUUGUAUUCGGGAGAUACAAAAUAAGGUCAUGAGGGGGUCAUUGAAUGAUUCCGCAGGCAAUCAAGAACCUACUGCAUCAUUGCUACCGUCGUGUGCUCCUAAAACUACCAUCCUGGGAUUCAGUAAGGGUGGAGUUGUCGUCAACCAGCUUGUGGCAGAACUUUCUUACUGGGCCUCAAAAUCAACAAAAAGUUCAGUUGAUGUUUCACAGCGAAGCCCAUCCCUCUUGACCGGUGAUCUACUCGUUCCUGCUACAGCUAGUGAUGUUUUAUCAAGUAUUUCCGAGUUCCAUUAUUUGGAUGUGGGCCUCAAUUGUGCUGGAGCAUACACUACUGAUCAUGCGGUGAUCAAGGGGAUAGCCAGCUAUGUUUCCCAGACUAGUGAUACUCUCCGUUUUGUCCUUCAUGGGACUCCGAGGCAGUGGUCUGAUCCGAACCGCCCAUGGAUCCUGGCCGAGAAAAACACGAUGCUGCGGUUGCUUCAGGACGAGGCUAAGAAAUGUGAAGGGAGACUGAUGCCAUCUGAAAAGAAGUAUUUUGAUGGUAGACCACGCAGUCUGCUGAUGCAUUUUGAGAUUCUGGAAGCAAUGGACAUCUGCUGA